This 1149-nucleotide ribosomal RNA is filed under the name Klebsiella sp. RNAcentral describes it as "bacterial SSU rRNA". It matches the Rfam family "Bacterial small subunit ribosomal RNA", at positions 55 to 1198 of the family's 1533-position model. Lineage: Bacteria; Pseudomonadati; Pseudomonadota; Gammaproteobacteria; Enterobacterales; Enterobacteriaceae. The record is from RNAcentral.
UUGCAGUCGAGCGGUAGCACAGAGAGCUUGCUCUCGGGUGACGAGCGGCGGACGGGUGAGUAAUGUCUGGGAAACUGCCUGAUGGAGGGGGAUAACUACUGGAAACGGUAGCUAAUACCGCAUAACGUCGCAAGACCAAAGUGGGGGACCUUCGGGCCUCAUGCCAUCAGAUGUGCCCAGAUGGGAUUAGCUAGUAGGUGGGGUAACGGCUCACCUAGGCGACGAUCCCUAGCUGGUCUGAGAGGAUGACCAGCCACACUGGAACUGAGACACGGUCCAGACUCCUACGGGAGGCAGCAGUGGGGAAUAUUGCACAAUGGGCGCAAGCCUGAUGCAGCCAUGCCGCGUGUGUGAAGAAGGCCUUCGGGUUGUAAAGCACUUUCAGCGGGGAGGAAGGCGUUAAGGUUAAUAACCUUGGCGAUUGACGUUACCCGCAGAAGAAGCACCGGCUAACUCCGUGCCAGCAGCCGCGGUAAUACGGAGGGUGCAAGCGUUAAUCGGAAUUACUGGGCGUAAAGCGCACGCAGGCGGUCUGUCAAGUCGGAUGUGAAAUCCCCGGGCUCAACCUGGGAACUGCAUUCGAAACUGGCAGGCUAGAGUCUUGUAGAGGGGGGUAGAAUUCCAGGUGUAGCGGUGAAAUGCGUAGAGAUCUGGAGGAAUACCGGUGGCGAAGGCGGCCCCCUGGACAAAGACUGACGCUCAGGUGCGAAAGCGUGGGGAGCAAACAGGAUUAGAUACCCUGGUAGUCCACGCCGUAAACGAUGUCGAUUUGGAGGUUGUGCCCUUGAGGCGUGGCUUCCGGAGCUAACGCGUUAAAUCGACCGCCUGGGGAGUACGGCCGCAAGGUUAAAACUCAAAUGAAUUGACGGGGGCCCGCACAAGCGGUGGAGCAUGUGGUUUAAUUCGAUGCAACGCGAAGAACCUUACCUGGUCUUGACAUCCACAGAACUUUCCAGAGAUGGAUUGGUGCCUUCGGGAACUGUGAGACAGGUGCUGCAUGGCUGUCGUCAGCUCGUGUUGUGAAAUGUUGGGUUAAGUCCCGCAACGAGCGCAACCCUUAUCCUUUGUUGCCAGCGGUUAGGCCGGGAACUCAAAGGAGACUGCCAGUGAUAACUGGAGGAAGGUGGGGAUGACGUCAAGUCAUCAUGG